AGCAGCCGCGGUAAUUCCAGCUCCAAUAGCGUAUAUUAAAGUUGUUGCAGUUAAAAAAGUUCGUAGUUGAAUUUCGGGAUUAGUAGGCUGGUUAUUUCACUGACCUCUGUUGGGUUAUGUACUGGUCUUACUAAUUCCUCCUUCCUGAUGAACUGUAGUGCCAUUAAUUUGGCGUUGCAGGGAAUCUGGACUGUUACUUUGAAAAAAUUGAGUGUUUAAAGCAGGCUAACGCUUGAAUACAUUAGCAUGGAAUAAUGAAAUAGGACGUUCGAUCCUAUUUUGUUGGUUUCUAGGAUUGACGUAAUGACUAAUAGGAUAGUUGGGGGCAUUAGUAUUCAAUUGUCAGAGGUGAAAUUCUUGGAUUUAUUGAAGACUAACUACUGCGAAAGCAUUUGCCAAGGAUGUUUCAAUAAUCAAGAACGAAAGUUACGGAUCGAAGACGAUCAGAUACGUCGUAGUCUUAACCAUAAACUAUGCGACUAGGAUCGGAUGAUGUUAAUUUUUAAUGUACUCAUUCGG
RNAcentral lists this ribosomal RNA (519 nucleotides) under uncultured Rhizophagus. Its description in RNAcentral is "SSU rRNA". It matches the Rfam family "Eukaryotic small subunit ribosomal RNA", at positions 569 to 1083 of the family's 1831-position model. Lineage: Eukaryota; Fungi; Glomeromycota; Glomeromycetes; Glomerales; Glomeraceae. The record is from RNAcentral.